Molecule: ribosomal RNA, 545 nt
Filed under: uncultured archaeon
Lineage: Archaea
Description: bacterial SSU rRNA
Rfam family: Archaeal small subunit ribosomal RNA
Source: RNAcentral
UGCCCAGGCGCGAAAACUUUGCAAUAGGCGAAAGCCUGACAGGGCUAUCCCGAGUGCCAUCCGCUGAGGAAGGCUUUUACCCAGUCUAGAACGCUGGGGGAAUAAGGAGAGGGCAAGUCUGGUGUCAGCCGCCGCGGUAAUACCAGCUCUCCGAGUGGUGUGGAUGUUUAUUGGGCCUAAAGCAUCCGUAGCUGGCUAAGUUAGUCCCUUGUUAAAUCCACCGAAUUAAUCGUUGGAUCGCGGGGGAUACUGCUUGGCUAGGGGACGAGAGAGGCAGACGGUAUUUUCGGGGUAGGGGUGAAAUCCUAUAAUCCCGGGAAGACCACCAGUGGCGAAGGCUGUCUGCUAGAACGCGCCCGACGGUGAGGGAUGAAAGCUGGGGGAGCGAACCGGAUUAGAUACCCGGGUAGUCCCAGCUGUAAACGAUGCAGACUAGGUGUUUGAACGGCCACGUGCCGUUCUAGUGCCGCAGGGAAGCUGUUAAGUCUGCCGCCUGGGGAGUACGAUCGCAAGAUUGAAACUUAAAGGAAUUGGCGGGGGAGCAC